AAGUGAGAAUGCCGGUGUGAGUAGCGAAAGACGGGUGAGAAUCCCGUCCACCGAUUGACUAAGGUUUCCAGAGGAAGGCUCGUCCGCUCUGGGUUAGUCGGGUCCUAAGCUGAGGCCGACAGGCGUAGGCGAUGGAUAACAGGUUGAUAUUCCUGUACCACCUAUAAUCGUUUUAAUCGAUGGGGGGACGCAGUAGGAUAGGCGAAGCGUGCGAUUGGAUUGCACGUCUAAGCAGUAAGGCUGAGUAUUAGGCAAAUCCGGUACUCGUUAAGGCUGAGCUGUGAUGGGGAGAAGACAUUGUGUCUUCGAGUCGUUGAUUUCACACUGCCGAGAAAAGCCUCUAGAUAGAAAAUAGGUGCCCGUACCGCAAACCGACACAGGUAGUCAAGAUGAGAAUUCUAAGGUGAGCGAGCGAACUCUCGUUAAGGAACUCGGCAAAAUGACCCCGUAACUUCGGGAGAAGGGGUGCUCUUUAGGGUUAACGCCCAGAAGAGCCGCAGUGAAUAGGCCCAAGCGACUGUUUAUCAAAAACACAGGUCUCUGCUAAACCGUAAGGUGAUGUAUAGGGGCUGACGCCUGCCCGGUGCUGGAAGGUUAAGAGGAGUGGUUAGCUUCUGCGAAGCUACGAAUCGAAGCCCCAGUAAACGGCGGCCGUAACUAUAACGGUCCUAAGGUAGCGAAAUUCCUUGUCGGGUAAGUUCCGACCCGCACGAAAGGCGUAACGAUUUGGGCACUGUCUCAACGAGAGACUCGGUGAAAUCAUAGUACCUGUGAAGAUGCAGGUUACCCGCGACAGGACGGAAAGACCCCGUGGAGCUUUACUGUAGCCUGAUAUUGAAAUUCGGCACAGCUUGUACAGGAUAGGUA
RNAcentral lists this ribosomal RNA (867 nucleotides) under Staphylococcus aureus. RNAcentral describes it as "partial 23S ribosomal RNA". It matches the Rfam family "Bacterial large subunit ribosomal RNA", at positions 1286 to 2149 of the family's 2925-position model. The record is from RNAcentral. Lineage: Bacteria; Bacillati; Bacillota; Bacilli; Caryophanales; Staphylococcaceae.